This 187-nucleotide ribosomal RNA is filed under the name uncultured rumen bacterium. RNAcentral's name for it is "partial 16S ribosomal RNA". It matches the Rfam family "Bacterial small subunit ribosomal RNA", at positions 340 to 524 of the family's 1533-position model. The record is from RNAcentral.
UACGGGAGGCAGCAGUGAGGAAUAUUGGUCAAUGGCCGAGAGGCUGAACCAGCCAUGCCGCGUGCGGGAGGACGGCCCUAUGGGUUGUAAACCGCUUUUGUUGGGGGGCAAUAAGGCGUACGUGUACGCCGAUGAGAGUACCCAGCGAAUAAGCAUCGGCUAACUCCGUGCCAGCAGCCGCGGUAAU